GAGAAGACGAUCGAGAGUGUAGUUAUGAGUUCGAAGUUGAUCUACAGAGGACAAGAGGCGCAGCCGGCGAUGGACGGUUAUACGCCGAAGCCUCCGAAGCCAUGGUUGAAUGUGAUUCGCCCAGUUCGGUAUAU
Molecule: long non-coding RNA, 134 nt
Organism: Ipomoea nil (Japanese morning glory)
Lineage: Eukaryota; Viridiplantae; Streptophyta; Magnoliopsida; Solanales; Convolvulaceae
Exons: 3
Source: RefSeq, a predicted model, not a curated record